UCGGUGGUUGAUGGUUUGUCAUCUUGGUGCCCCGUCAUUUUCUCCAGUGGGUCGUAUGCCCCAGACUUUAUUUGUCUCCUCAGCACAGUCAUGAGUAGAGCUGUUAUUAAUAUCCCCAUCGGAUUUGCGAGCAGAGUUGUUGUCACUCUUCCCAGUGCAGUUGCCAGCGGAAUUGUCUGUUUCCUCAGCACGAUCGCUUUCUUUUUGAAGACUUGGUAAGUCAGUGGUUUGAUACCCAGUACUUUACCUUU
RNAcentral lists this long non-coding RNA (251 nucleotides) under Lathyrus oleraceus (garden pea). RNAcentral describes it as "Pisum sativum (pea) long non-coding RNA (PSAT_LNC009759)". Lineage: Eukaryota; Viridiplantae; Streptophyta; Magnoliopsida; Fabales; Fabaceae. The record is from RNAcentral.